Molecule: long non-coding RNA, 192 nt
Organism: Etheostoma spectabile (orangethroat darter)
Lineage: Eukaryota; Metazoa; Chordata; Actinopteri; Perciformes; Percidae
Exons: 2
Source: RefSeq, a predicted model, not a curated record
AAUGGGCGACAAAAAGCGACAAAUGGGCGACGUAAAUGCGACAAAUGGGCGACAAAAGGGCAACGAAAAGGCGACAAAUGGGCGACAAAUGGGCGACAAAUGGGCGACUAAAGGGCAACGAAAAGGCGACAAAAGGGCGACUAAAGGGCAACAAAUGGGUGACAAAUGGGCGACAAAUGGGCGACGAAAAGG